RNAcentral lists this ribosomal RNA (2197 nucleotides) under Escherichia coli. RNAcentral's name for it is "partial 23S ribosomal RNA". It matches the Rfam family "Bacterial large subunit ribosomal RNA", at positions 614 to 2797 of the family's 2925-position model. The record is from RNAcentral. Lineage: Bacteria; Pseudomonadati; Pseudomonadota; Gammaproteobacteria; Enterobacterales; Enterobacteriaceae.
AAUGGGUCAGCGACUUAUAUUCUGUAGCAAGGUUAACCGAAUAGGGGAGCCGAAGGGAAACCGAGUCUUAACUGGGCGUUAAGUUGCAGGGUAUAGACCCGAAACCCGGUGAUCUAGCCAUGGGCAGGUUGAAGGUUGGGUAACACUAACUGGAGGACCGAACCGACUAAUGUUGAAAAAUUAGCGGAUGACUUGUGGCUGGGGGUGAAAGGCCAAUCAAACCGGGAGAUAGCUGGUUCUCCCCGAAAGCUAUUUAGGUAGCGCCUCGUGAAUUCAUCUCCGGGGGUAGAGCACUGUUUCGGCAAGGGGGUCAUCCCGACUUACCAACCCGAUGCAAACUGCGAAUACCGGAGAAUGUUAUCACGGGAGACACACGGCGGGUGCUAACGUCCGUCGUGAAGAGGGAAACAACCCAGACCGCCAGCUAAGGUCCCAAAGUCAUGGUUAAGUGGGAAACGAUGUGGGAAGGCCCAGACAGCCAGGAUGUUGGCUUAGAAGCAGCCAUCAUUUAAAGAAAGCGUAAUAGCUCACUGGUCGAGUCGGCCUGCGCGGAAGAUGUAACGGGGCUAAACCAUGCACCGAAGCUGCGGCAGCGACACUGUGUGUUGUUGGGUAGGGGAGCGUUCUGUAAGCCUGUGAAGGUGUACUGUGAGGUAUGCUGGAGGUAUCAGAAGUGCGAAUGCUGACAUAAGUAACGAUAAAGCGGGUGAAAAGCCCGCUCGCCGGAAGACCAAGGGUUCCUGUCCAACGUUAAUCGGGGCAGGGUGAGUCGACCCCUAAGGCGAGGCCGAAAGGCGUAGUCGAUGGGAAACAGGUUAAUAUUCCUGUACUUGGUGUUACUGCGAAGGGGGGACGGAGAAGGCUAUGUUGGCCGGGCGACGGUUGUCCCGGUUUAAGCGUGUAGGCUGGUUUUCCAGGCAAAUCCGGAAAAUCAAGGCUGAGGCGUGAUGACGAGGCACUACGGUGCUGAAGCAACAAAUGCCCUGCUUCCAGGAAAAGCCUCUAAGCAUCAGGUAACAUCAAAUCGUACCCCAAACCGACACAGGUGGUCAGGUAGAGAAUACCAAGGCGCUUGAGAGAACUCGGGUGAAGGAACUAGGCAAAAUGGUGCCGUAACUUCGGGAGAAGGCACGCUGAUAUGUAGGUGAAGCGACUUGCUCGUGGAGCUGAAAUCAGUCGAAGAUACCAGCUGGCUGCAACUGUUUAUUAAAAACACAGCACUGUGCAAACACGAAAGUGGACGUAUACGGUGUGACGCCUGCCCGGUGCCGGAAGGUUAAUUGAUGGGGUCAGCGCAAGCGAAGCUCUUGAUCGAAGCCCCGGUAAACGGCGGCCGUAACUAUAACGGUCCUAAGGUAGCGAAAUUCCUUGUCGGGUAAGUUCCGACCUGCACGAAUGGCGUAAUGAUGGCCAGGCUGUCUCCACCCGAGACUCAGUGAAAUUGAACUCGCUGUGAAGAUGCAGUGUACCCGCGGCAAGACGGAAAGACCCCGUGAACCUUUACUAUAGCUUGACACUGAACAUUGAGCCUUGAUGUGUAGGAUAGGUGGGAGGCUUUGAAGUGUGGACGCCAGUCUGCAUGGAGCCGACCUUGAAAUACCACCCUUUAAUGUUUGAUGUUCUAACGUGGACCCGUGAUCCGGGUUGCGGACAGUGUCUGGUGGGUAGUUUGACUGGGGCGGUCUCCUCCUAAAGAGUAACGGAGGAGCACGAAGGUUGGCUAAUCCUGGUCGGACAUCAGGAGGUUAGUGCAAUGGCAUAAGCCAGCUUGACUGCGAGCGUGACGGCGCGAGCAGGUGCGAAAGCAGGUCAUAGUGAUCCGGUGGUUCUGAAUGGAAGGGCCAUCGCUCAACGGAUAAAAGGUACUCCGGGGAUAACAGGCUGAUACCGCCCAAGAGUUCAUAUCGACGGCGGUGUUUGGCACCUCGAUGUCGGCUCAUCACAUCCUGGGGCUGAAGUAGGUCCCAAGGGUAUGGCUGUUCGCCAUUUAAAGUGGUACGCGAGCUGGGUUUAGAACGUCGUGAGACAGUUCGGUCCCUAUCUGCCGUGGGCGCUGGAGAACUGAGGGGGGCUGCUCCUAGUACGAGAGGACCGGAGUGGACGCAUCACUGGUGUUCGGGUUGUCAUGCCAAUGGCACUGCCCGGUAGCUAAAUGCGGAAGAGAUAAGUGCUGAAAGCAUCUAAGCACGAAACUUGC